GGUUUGAUUCUGGCUCAGAUUGAACGCUGGUGGGAUGCUUUACACGUGUCGAACGGCAGCACGACUUCGGUCUGAAGAGUGGCGAACGGGUGAGUAAUGUGUAUCGGAACGUGCCUGGUAGCUGGGGAUGAAUUCACGCGAAAGCGUAGCUAAUACCGCAUAACAUUCCCGUGGCGGGACCUCGGGCCUCGCGGUAACUCAGGGAGCGCAUUGAUAUCGGAUUAGCCAGUUGCGGGUGCAACGGCUCACCAAGGCGACGAUCCGUAGCUGGGUUUUGAGAGGACGACCAGCCGCACUUGGGACUGAGACACGGCCCAGACUACGGGAGGCAGCAGUGGGGUAAUUGGACAAUGGAACCUGAUCCAGCCAUCCGGCGUGUGCGAUGAAGGCCUCUGGGUUGUAAAGCACUUUGGCAGGAAAAGAAACGGCACGGGAUAAUACCCCCGCACCGACGGUACCUGCAGAAUAAGCACCGCUAACUACGUGCCAGCAGCUGCGUAAUACGUAGGGUGCAAGCGUUAAUCGGAAUUACUGGGCGCAAAAGCGUGCGCAGGCGGUUCGGAAAGAAAGAUGUGAAAUCCCAGAGCGAACUUUGAACUGCAUUUUUAAUCACCGAGCUAGAGGCAAAUGAGAGGUGGAAUUCCGCGUGUAGCAGUGAAAAUGCGUAGAUAUGCGGAGGAACAUCGAUGGCGAAAAGGUUUCCGAUAACACUGACGCUCAUGCACGAAAGCAGAGCAAUGAUUAGAUACUCCCAGUAGUCCACGCCCUAAACGAUGUCAACUAGCUGUUGGGGCCUCUGGCCUUGCAGCAGCCAAUUCGCGAAGUUGACCGCCUGGGGAGUACGGUCGCAAGAUUAAAACUCAAAGGAAUUGACGGGACCCGCACCAAGCGGUGGAUGAUGUGAUUAAUUCGAUGCAAACGCAAAAACCUUAAUACCUACCCUGAUGUCUGGAAUCCUGAAGAGAUUUGGGGAGUGCUCGCAAAUAGAACUGAACACAGGUGCUGCAUGGCUGUCGUCAGCUCGUGUCGAGACGUUGCUGUCUCGCAACGAGCGGCAACCCUUGUCAUUAGUUGUUACGAAAGGGCACUCUAGAUUGAGACUGCCGGGGACAACCUGGAGGAAGGUGGGGAUGACGUCAAGUCCUCAUGGCUCCCAUGGGUAGGGCUUCACACGUCAUACAAUGGUCGGGACAGAGGGUCGCCAACCUGCGAGGGGGAGCCAAUCCCAGAAACCCGAUUCAGUCUCUGACCGUAGUCUGCACUGACCGUGGAAGUCUGAAUUGCUUAGUAAUCGCGGAUCAGCAUGUCACGGUGAAUACGUUCCCGGGUCUUGUACACACCGCCCGUCACACCAUGGGAGUGGGUUUACCAGAAGUAGUUAGCCUAACCGUAAGGAGGGAAGGAUACGACGGUAGAUUCGCGACUGGGGUAAGCCCAACAAGGUAACCCU
Molecule: ribosomal RNA, 1450 nt
Filed under: uncultured Bordetella sp.
Lineage: Bacteria; Pseudomonadati; Pseudomonadota; Betaproteobacteria; Burkholderiales; Alcaligenaceae
Description: partial 16S-23S ribosomal RNA intergenic spacer
Rfam family: Bacterial small subunit ribosomal RNA
Source: RNAcentral